GGUUAAGCGACUAAGCGUACACGGUGGAUGCCCUGGCAGUCAGAGGCGAUGAAGGGCGUGCUAAUCUGCGAUAAGCGCCGGUAAGGUGAUAUGAACCGUUAUAACCGGCGAUACCCGAAUGGGGAAACCCAGUGUGACUCGUCACACUAUCAUUAACUGAAUCCAUAGGUUAAUGAGGCGAACCGGGGGAACUGAAACAUCUAAGUACCCCGAGGAAAAGAAAUCAACCGAGAUUCCCCCAGUAGCGGCGAGCGAACGGGGAGGAGCCCAGAGCCUGAAUCAGCAUGUGUGUUAGUGGAAGCGUCUGGAAAGGCGCGCGAUACAGGGUGACAGCCCCGUACACAAAAGCGCAUGUGCUGUGAGCUCGAUGAGUAGGGCGGGACACGUGGUAUCCUGUCUGAAUAUGGGGGGACCAUCCUCCAAGGCUAAAUACUCCUGACUGACCGAUAGUGAACCAGUACCGUGAGGGAAAGGCGAAAAGAACCCCGGCGAGGGGAGUGAAAAAGAACCUGAAACCGUGUACGUACAAGCAGUGGGAGCACAGGUUUACCUGUGUGACUGCGUACCUUUUGUAUAAUGGGUCAGCGACUUAUAUUCUGUAGCAAGGUUAACCGUAUAGGGGAGCCGUAGGGAAACCGAGUCUUAACCGGGCGUUAAGUUGCAGGGUAUAGACCCGAAACCCGGUGAUCUAGCCAUGGGCAGGUUGAAGGUUGGGUAACACUAACUGGAGGACCGAACCGACUAAUGUUGAAAAAUUAGCGGAUGACCUGUGGCUGGGGGUGAAAGGCCAAUCAAACCGGGAGAUAGCUGGUUCUCCCCGAAAGCUAUUUAGGUAGCGCCUCGUGAAUUCAUCUCCGGGGGUAGAGCACUGUUUCGGCUAGGGGGCCAUCCCGGCUUACCAACCCGAUGCAAACUGCGAAUACCGGAGAAUGUUAUCACGGGAGACACACGGCGGGUGCUAACGUCCGUCGUGAAGAGGGAAACAACCCAGACCGCCAGCUAAGGUCCCAAAGUCAUGGUUAAGUGGGAAACGAUGUGGGAAGGCCCAGACAGCCAGGAUGUUGGCUUAGAAGCAGCCAUCAUUUAAAGAAAGCGUAAUAGCUCACUGGUCGAGUCGGCCUGCGCGGAAGAUGUAACGGGGCUAAACCAUGCACCGAAGCUGCGGCAGCGACGCUGAUGCGUUGUUGGGUAGGGGAGCGUUCUGUAAGCCUGUGAAGGUGGCCUGUGAGGGUUGCUGGAGGUAUCAGAAGUGCGAAUGCUGACAUAAGUAACGAUAAAGCGGGUGAAAAGCCCGCUCGCCGGAAGACCAAGGGUUCCUGUCCAACGUUAAUCGGGGCAGGGUGAGUCGACCCCUAAGGCGAGGCCGAAAGGCGUAGUCGAUGGGAAACGGGUUAAUAUUCCCGUACUUGGUGUUACUGCGAAGGGGGGACGGAGAAGGCUAUGUUGGCCGGGCGACGGUUGUCCCGGUUUAAGCGUGUAGGUGUGUGUUCCAGGUAAAUCCGGUUCACUUUAACACUGAGGCGUGAUGACGAGGCACUACGGUGCUGAAGCAACAAAUGCCCUGCUUCCAGGAAAAGCCUCUAAGCAUCAGGUAACAUCAAAUCGUACCCCAAACCGACACAGGUGGUCAGGUAGAGAAUACCAAGGCGCUUGAGAGAACUCGGGUGAAGGAACUAGGCAAAAUGGUGCCGUAACUUCGGGAGAAGGCACGCUGACACGUAGGUGAAGUGAUUUACUCAUGGAGCUGAAGUCAGUCGAAGAUACCAGCUGGCUGCAACUGUUUAUUAAAAACACAGCACUGUGCAAACACGAAAGUGGACGUAUACGGUGUGACGCCUGCCCGGUGCCGGAAGGUUAAUUGAUGGGGUCAGCGCAAGCGAAGCUCCUGAUCGAAGCCCCGGUAAACGGCGGCCGUAACUAUAACGGUCCUAAGGUAGCGAAAUUCCUUGUCGGGUAAGUUCCGACCUGCACGAAUGGCGUAAUGAUGGCCAGGCUGUCUCCACCCGAGACUCAGUGAAAUUGAACUCGCUGUGAAGAUGCAGUGUACCCGCGGCAAGACGGAAAGACCCCGUGAACCUUUACUAUAGCUUGACACUGAACAUUGAGCCUUGAUGUGUAGGAUAGGUGGGAGGCUUUGAAGCGUGGACGCCAGUCUGCAUGGAGCCGGCCUUGAAAUACCACCCUUUAAUGUUUGAUGUUCUAACGUGGACCCGUGAUCCGGGUUGCGGACAGUGUCUGGUGGGUAGUUUGACUGGGGCGGUCUCCUCCUAAAGAGUAACGGAGGAGCACGAAGGUUGGCUAAUCCUGGUCGGACAUCAGGAGGUUAGUGCAAUGGCAUAAGCCAGCUUGACUGCGAGCGUGACGGCGCGAGCAGGUGCGAAAGCAGGUCAUAGUGAUCCGGUGGUUCUGAAUGGAAGGGCCAUCGCUCAACGGAUAAAAGGUACUCCGGGGAUAACAGGCUGAUACCGCCCAAGAGUUCAUAUCGACGGCGGUGUUUGGCACCUCGAUGUCGGCUCAUCACAUCCUGGGGGCUGAAGUAGGUCCCAAGGGUAUGGCUGUUCGCCAUUUAAAGUGGUACGCGAGCUGGGUUUAGAACGUCGUGAGACAGUUCGGUCCCUAUCUGCCGUGGGCGCUGGAGAACUGAGGGGGGCUGCUCCUAGUACGAGAGGACCGGAGUGGACGCAUCACUGGUGUUCGGGUUGUCAUGCCAAUGGCACUGCCCGGUAGCUAAAUGCGGAAGAGAUAAGUGCUGAAAGCAUCUAAGCACGAAACUUGCCCCGAGAUGAGUUCUCCCUGAGACUUAGAGUCUCCUGAAGGAACGUUGAAGACGACGACGUUGAUAGGCCGGGUGUGUAAGCGCAGCGAUGCGUUGAGCUAACCGGUACUAAUGAACCGUGAGGCUUAACCUU
RNAcentral lists this ribosomal RNA (2909 nucleotides) under Salmonella enterica subsp. enterica serovar Paratyphi C. RNAcentral's name for it is "23S ribosomal RNA". It matches the Rfam family "Bacterial large subunit ribosomal RNA". The record is from RNAcentral. Lineage: Bacteria; Pseudomonadati; Pseudomonadota; Gammaproteobacteria; Enterobacterales; Enterobacteriaceae. RNAcentral also lists the same sequence under 1 other name.